This 305-nucleotide ribosomal RNA is filed under the name uncultured bacterium. Its description in RNAcentral is "bacterial SSU rRNA". It matches the Rfam family "Bacterial small subunit ribosomal RNA", at positions 336 to 658 of the family's 1533-position model. The record is from RNAcentral.
UUCCUACGGGAGGCAGCAGUGGGGGAUAUUGCACAAUGGGGGAAACCCUGAUGCAGCGACGCCGCGUGGGUGAAGAAGCGCCUCGGCGCGUAAAGCCCUGUCAGCAGGGAAGAAGAUGACGGUACCUGACCAAGAAGCCCCGGCUAACUACGUGCCAGCAGCCGCGGUAAUACGUAGGGGGCAAGCGUUAUCCGGAUUUACUGGGUGUAAAGGGGGCGCAGACGGCAAUGCAAGCCAGGAGUGAAAGCCCGGGGCCCAACCCCGGGACUGCUCUUGGAACUGCAUGGCUGGAGUACAGGAGGGGG